Molecule: ribosomal RNA, 406 nt
Filed under: uncultured bacterium
Lineage: Bacteria
Description: partial 16S ribosomal RNA
Rfam family: Bacterial small subunit ribosomal RNA
Source: RNAcentral
AUUGAACGCUGGCGGCAGGCCUAACACAUGCAAGUCGAACGAGUGGCGGACGGGUGAGUAAUGUCUGGGUAACUGCCCGAUGGAGGGGGAUAACUACUGGAAACGGUAGCUAAUACCGCAUCCCAUCGGAUGUGCCCAGAUGGGAUUAGCUAGUAGGUGGGGUAACGGCUCACCUAGGCGACGAGCCCUAGCUGGUCUGAGAGGAUGACCAGCCACACUGGAACUGAGACACGGUCCAGACUCCUACGGGAGGCAGAAGUGGGGAAUAUUGGACAAUGGGCGCAAGCCUGAUGCAGCCAUGCCGCGUGUAUGAAGAAGGCCUUCGGGUUGUAAAGUACUUUCAGCGAGGAGGCGUUACUCGCAGAAGAAGCCCCGGCUAACUCCGUGCCAGCAGCCGCGGUAAUUC